UCUAAGGAAGAAAAAUGACAACAUCAUAUGUUAAUAACCUUCCGAGAUUAAAAGUCUGAAGAUGUGUGUCAGACCUACAAAUAACUUAUGUAUGGGUUACCAAGCGUGGCGUGGCGACCGCCUCCUGUCCUGGACUUUGUGCCGACCUGCUUUUCGAGCCCUCCCCACUCCCGUCCUCAUGCUGAGUGUUCCAAGUGGAACGUUUCAGUGCAAGUGUGAACGUGAAGCUACAGCUGAACUCCUUCUCCUUUUGAGUUUUAAUUGAAAUCCCCUGAACCUGGACAGGUAGAUUCGGGAUUUUAGCAGAACCCAUUUUCAGGCGCCAGGAGGAAAACCCCGAGCAACAUUUUGCAUAGUCCCAGGAGAGCCUGUGGGUGACAAGCCCAGCUGGCCGCAAAUCCCGAGGGGCACUGCCCCGUCCAAUCAUCUUGUGUCCCGUUCCCAUGGCCAGGGUAUCUGAUGGUGAGUGUGUGGGGUAAAUCGUUUACAGAAUAAAUAAGUGAAGACUGUAAAAAUCAGGAGCGAGUAGGAUUUACUGUUAACUGGGGUCAUAAUCGCUCAGAGAUCUUUGCUACCACAUGGGUCAGGGAGAAUGUCUGAGCCCCCGGCAGCCGUCAGCCCAGCUGAAGACACACGGGAGAGCUAACAGGGUCUGUGGACCUGACCCCAACCCCAGCUCAGGCUUUCCAGCUAUAUUGUCACAUGGAUAACCGACUCAAGGGACCUCAGUGUUUUUCCUUACUGCUUUUAAACUCAUUUUUAAAUUUUAUCCCAUUUUUGCUGAGGGACACCUAUAUAUUGCAAGGUUAAAUGGAUCACUAGUGGUUGCGUAAUUGAGCUAGGCUGUAUAAACCCCUAAGUCAGACUGCUUGACUGGAAACAUUAAUUUUGGAAGCCAAUCACCUUACAGUUGAAAGAGCAGUCAGUUUUUGUGUUGAAAAGGAUCACAGGGUAAGAUUGACAGGGUCAGAACUGGCUUCUAUGCUGAUCUAAUAAAUGCCUCAGUUGCUACUA
Molecule: long non-coding RNA, 1014 nt
Organism: Homo sapiens (human)
Lineage: Eukaryota; Metazoa; Chordata; Mammalia; Primates; Hominidae
Exons: 2
Source: RefSeq, a predicted model, not a curated record